AACUUUCAACAACGGAUCACUAGGCUCUCGCAUCGAUGAAGAACGCGGCGAAAUGCGAUAAGUAAUGUGAAUUGCAGAUUUCAGUGAAUCAUCGAAUCUUUGAACGCACCUUGCGCUCCUGGGUCUUCCUAGGAGCAUGCCUGUUUGAGUGUCCAGAACAUACAUCAACCCCGAAACAUUCGUGUUGAAAGGGUUGGAGUUGGAGGCCUGCCGUGUUCCACGGCUCCUCUCAAAUGUGUUAGCUGGCUGUUGCUGCGUCUCGCAUGUUGGCUUGAUAUUUAUGUCUACGCCUCUAUGGGACCUUGCAUCCGGCCGCUCCUAACCGUCCCUCACCGGACAACAUCUUCUUGACCUCGGGCCUCAAAUCAGGUAGGACUACCCGCUGAACUUAAGCAUAUCAAUAAGCGGAGGCU
This 413-nucleotide unclassified non-coding RNA is filed under the name uncultured Agaricomycetes. RNAcentral describes it as "sequence contains ITS2". The stretch from base 1 to 154 matches the Rfam family "5.8S ribosomal RNA". Lineage: Eukaryota; Fungi; Basidiomycota; Agaricomycetes. The record is from RNAcentral.